GAUCUUUUGUCCACUGGGCUGUGGGGAUAUCCCUUUCCUCCUCAGCUAGGGCUAGAGGCCAAGACCAGCCCUGAGUGUCAUGGAUUCAUAGUCAUCAGAACUGCCAUGAGUGGGCAGCCCUAAUUUCCUGCCUCAGACAUUC
Molecule: small nucleolar RNA, 142 nt
Filed under: Neotoma lepida (desert woodrat)
Lineage: Eukaryota; Metazoa; Chordata; Mammalia; Rodentia; Cricetidae
Source: RNAcentral